CACAAUGCUUGAGUCCAUCCCUCAGGACAUAGAAACCAGAAUAUAGAUAAAUAUAGUCAGAUGAAAACAUGUUUUCCUCUUUGCCCACUUUAUUAUUCCCAAUACCCCCCCAGUGUACCAAUGACUCUCCACCAGCGAACAGACUCUCUUCCUGACUUCGCUCCAGUCAGCGAACUGACGCGAUGACGCAUCCGCGGCGGCUGAAAACGUUCGCGCUCAUCCGGAUACAUGAACCUGCUUCAUGGAGACAUGAGGAGGACGAGAGGAAGAAGGAGAGAGACUGGAGGAAAAGAAGAUGAAGAACUGGAGUUUGUUGUGAGUUAUAAGGGUGUGCCGGCGAGUCGCGGGACACGGACACCACCACAGAAACACUUCAGUCUUUCCAGUCGCCACUUCCAGAGAGAGUGACGAGUUGCAGGACACGAGUUGGGACCAUCAGCUGACCAGUUGCCAUUUAAAAAAAAAAAAACACUUCAGUCUUUCCAGUCGUCACUUCCAGAGAGAAAAUUAAAGAAAGAAAUUCUGCAGCCAGCCACAGACCGCGGACCCUGAGGCUCCCCUGACCCAAAACCCGCCAGCCACGGCCCCCGGACAAUCAGACGCUGCUGUAACCAUCUUGCACCGUGCUGCUGCGGUAUGUGUCUUACAUUACUCCUGUAUAGUCUAACACACAUUUAAGUCAUCCUAAUGUGCUUUUUGUAGACACUGUAGGCCUUUUUGACGGGGGCGGGAAUUUUAAAAACGGCUACCGCAGCAUGUCGUCUUCUCGGCCGAGGGGUCGUGAAGGCCACGAUUAUGAAUAUAAACGGAGCUCAACUUCUUUCAUCUCACUCUUUACUGUAUUCUUCGCUACAGCGGUUCCCAACCUGGAGCCCGGGACCCCCACUAGGGGUCGCCAAAGCUUCACAGGGUGUCGCAACUUAAACAGGUGCUAGAAAAGUGUACACUUUUAUUGUGGGUUUAUUGUAGUUUUAAUUUUAAUAUGAAAUACCCCUCAAAUAUGUCCCCAAGCAGGGGUCGUCAGUUUACUAAAUUAUAUAUAUCAUAAUGUGUCUAUAUUGCCGUAUAUGAGUAGCAUGUCCUAUCUGGCUCCAUGUCAGUACUAAUAUCUCUCUCUCUCUCUCUCUCUCUCUCUCUCUCUCUCUCUCUCUCGUCCUGCUUCCUGGAUCCCCCCUCUGCUCUUGGAGGGGGGACCCGAUUGUUCUGAUGUGUGUUGCCAGUGUAAAUGCUCAAUAAAAUUAUUUUAAAAUCCAUAACCCCCUGCUUCCAUCUCUCCGGGAGGAGACACGGCCCCCUCCAUUCCCUCUGCAGCGGGGUGAGACUCCAGGAACCCAGCACCCAAAGUGCUGCCAGUAGUUUUUAAUUCAGAUUCAGAUUAUCGGAUUAGUUGUUUUUAUUAUUUUGGUUCUGCAUCCCAAUGACAGGAAACAUUUUUUUUUAAUUUUUUGUUUUAACAACAUCCAUCACCUUAGAGUUUUCAAAUUCCCCAUAUAUCUUAAUCUCCUGUUUUCAAAUACAGAUUGGACCCCAGUAUUGGGAUAAUCCAAAUGGCUGCUGUGUGUGGGCAAGGAUUCAGUGACAAAUGGUCGAUUCUGACCACUGCAGUAGCUGCGUAUGCCACUAGGGGAGCUCUGACGUCAUCAAUUUCUUGCCGAAAGUGCACUUGUGGCGGCGUCUGCCAACCUCCCCUUGGCACAACAACAUAAAAAGCUUCAAACAUUUGAGCAAAAUUUCAGCCGCUCGUGGCUCUGUGUCCGAUAACCCCCUGCUUUGAUCACUCCGGAGCAUCGGGAGGGGACAAGGCCCCCUCCCUCACCCACCGCCGUGGGAUCGAUAGUCCAGGAACCGGCCGGGUGGUAUUCGAACCAGCGGUUCCUCCACUGGCCGACCCUACGGUCACGAGACGAAGCCACCACGCCACCGAGCCCCCUUCGCACUAGAACCUGCUCUCUGGGCGCUUUCAUAAGGGAAUCGACCCCAUGUCCUCAGGAGUGUCCAUUAACCUACUAACACACUGCGCUAUGUGUACGCAGACGCUUCUUCCUUGUUUCUUAGGGGCCUUCAGUCUUCUUCUUGGUGUUGAAUUUCAAAAUUCACAACGUCAAAGGUUUGAACCCACAACCUCCGAACUUCCACAAAGCCGUCUAACACCUUGAGCUGUUUGAUCUGAGACGCUGGGGAGUUUUUUUUACUGUUUCCUUCAGACAACCGACUUCAAAAUUCACAUAUUGGGAUAAACAUGAAAACCACAACCUCGGAACUUCCUGACAGUCCAUCAGCACCGCGAGAUAUCUGACACGAUUUCUUCUUGGUGUUUGAUUUCAAAACUUUCAAAUUCAAUUGGGGAUUGAACCCACAACCUCAGAGGUUCCAAUCACUUACCUAACCCCUUGAGCUAUUAGAUUGGACACUGAAUUUUUUUUUUCUCAUAUUUGACCUUUUCUUCUACAUUGUUCAACUUCAAACUUCAGUUCAUUCAAAAAUAAACAAGGAUUGAACCCUCGACUUGCAAGUUACUAGUCAGUCUCCUAACGCCUUGAGCUAUUGGAUCAGACAUAUUUCAGAUUUUUUCGUCUGAAGUUUUCACUUUAUCCUUUAUCCUUAUACGUUUUUUGAGUUUGAUCCUCAAUCACGUAUAUGAAUUUUGAAGUCAUGCCACUUCUUAUCAUGUCAUAUACGUGACUGAGGAUCAAACGGACAUCCACAAAACCUAUAUGUCCAUAGAAGCCUCUUGUCCUGUCCAACUUUGAAGUUCAAAGUGUAGAAGAAAAAGUCAAAAGCUCAAAUGAAAAACAAAAUCACAUGUCUAACUAAAUAGCUCAUGGUGUUAGAAGAAUAACUGGAAGCUCUGAGUCUGAGGGUUCAAACCUCAGUCAACUCUAUGACUUUUGAAGUGAAAUGUUCGGAGAUAAAGGUCAAAUAUAUAUUUAAAAAAAGGAAAGGGUAACUGAACAAAUAGCUCAAGGUGUAAUGAGGGUGAAUGGUAGUUCAGAAGACAUGGGUUUGAUUCUUAUUAAAAACUUCUGAAUUUUGAAGUUAGACAUCCAGAGGAAAAGAUGUAAAGAGCAUCAAGUCAGAUAGCUUCUGGUGUUAGGAGGUUGACUGAAAGAGAUUGAUCUUCACUACAAUUUAUGAAAUGUGAAGUGGGAUGCAGAAAUGAGAAAAGUGAAAAGGUCUAAGCCUUGUCUCAGGACAAAUAGCUCACAGUGUUAGAAGGCUGGUUGGAGGUUUGGAGGAUGUGGGUUCAAACCUUGCUGAAAUCUUUAAAGUUGGCUGAGGCCAAGUGAGUUUUGUGGUCCAGCAGCCAAAGUAAAAAGAUAAAAGCGCCCGGAGAAGAUGUUCUAGCGUGAAGGGAGCUUGGUGGCGAGGUGUGGAUGGUUGUAGCCAGAAGGCAGAAGUGUCUGGUUUGAGUCCCGCUCGGUGCUGGGUUCCUGGAGUCUCACCCCGCUGCAGAGGGAGAGGAGGGGACCGUGUCCCCUCCCAGGUUUCCGGAGAGAUAGCAGCAGGGGAUUAUGGAUUUUAAAAUACAUUUUAUUGAAGACAAAUGCAUGGGGCACCCCUCUCCCUCCUCCUCCGACCAGUUGGCAAUUUCCACAAGGAAGACAUGAAGGCUUCUUUGCAGAAAAUCCCAACUGGUCCGCUGAUGGUCCCAACUCACGGUCCGCCUAUAUUAUAUUACUGUAUACUGUAUUAUAUUAGACACUACUGUAUUAUAUUAGACACAACUAUAUUAGACACAACUAUAUUAUAUUAGACACUACUGUACUAUAUUAGACACUACUGUAUUAUAUUAGACACAACUAUAUUAGACACAACUAUAUUAUAUUAGACACUACUGUACUAUAUUAGACACUACUGUAUUAUAUUAGACACAACUAUACUAUAUUAGACACAACUAUAUUAUAUUAGACAACUAUAUUAUAUUAGACACUACUAUACUAUAUUAGACACAACUAUACUAUAUUAGACACAACUAUAUUAUAUUAGACAACUAUAUUAUAUUAGACACUACUGUAUUAUAUUAGACACUACUAUACUAUAUCAAACACUACUAUCUUAAAUUGCACCAACAAUAUCUUCAGACUACGUCUGAGUUUUUGAGGUGUUUGUAACAGAAACCUGCAACAAACACAAUAUUCACUCACUCUCUCUGGAAUUGGCGACUGGAAAGACUGAAGUGUUUGUGUCCCACGACUCGCCCGCACACCCUGGAGGCAGGAGAGAGAGAGAGUGCAGGUGAUCAGUACAGACAUGGAGCCACAUCGGACAUUAUCCAUUUUCAGCAGAUUAUUUUCUGUUUAGGGAACUUUUUAGACAAUUUUGCAUCUGUAUUAUUAUUAUUAUUUAUUUUUACCAAUCAUACAGACUUAAUAGGCUUUUUUCUUUUGACAAAAUCAGUGUUUUUCUGACCCUGACUCUUGCCCAUUGUUCUAUUAGACAAUUUGCCUGAUGUUUACUUUUCUUCACAGAUGUGAACCAAAUGCUGAGAUAUUAUCUUUAAUGGUUUCUAGCACCCCUUAAAAUCAAGAAGGCCUUGCGACACCCGAUGAAACUUUGGUGACCCCUUUAAGUUUAGAUGAUUAUUGAAGACAUUAAAAACAUUACAUUUAAAGGUGAGUUAAGUGAUCGUUGGUAAUGCUAAAUUCAAAUCCAAUCCACUUUUUCCAAAUGGAGUGAAUAUCUCCUCACGGUCUGCUAGCUUUCUGCUCUGUGUGCAGUGAAAUAAAUGUGGUAUUUGAAAACAGGAGAUGUGAUCCGACCAAAUUGAGAUAUGGAUUUGUUAAUCCACAAUCCAGAUAAAAUGUUGUUUUUGGGUUGAUACCAUCAUAAAGGUUUGUAUUUAUUUUAUUUAUUUAACAUUUUCUGAGAGUUUUACACAUGAAAGUGAAUAGCUACUAAUGGGUAUACAGUACAUACACUCUUUUCUAUGUUAUUCUUUCUAAGCUCUGAUGCAGACAAUGUAAGUUUGCUGCUCACUUUGAGUUCUGCUACAAUCAGAUCAUAAUUAGGUGGCAAUACUGAAUGCUAUUUUUGGAUUUUCAAUAAAAUAUACUUGCUUCAACAUGAAAUGAGUUGUGUGGUCAAUAUUACAAAGACAAUCUAAGAAAUCUCUGGGUCCUUUAACGCAUGAACCAAACAAAGGCCUCCAACCCUGUGGAGAUGCUGCAUGGCUCAGCUGAACAUGUGGUCCAGCUAGUUUAGUGAGUGCAGUCAGAAUGAACACUGCCUACAACCUGAUGCACACAUUAUCUGCACUAAUAGGACACAAUCUGAGCUUCAA
Dicentrarchus labrax (European seabass) is the source of this 5281-nucleotide long non-coding RNA. RefSeq lists it as uncharacterized. NCBI's taxonomy places the organism in Eukaryota, Metazoa, Chordata, Actinopteri, Moronidae. The record is from RefSeq and is a predicted model, not a curated record. The transcript is spliced from 4 exons.